Molecule: long non-coding RNA, 14215 nt
Organism: Peromyscus californicus insignis
Lineage: Eukaryota; Metazoa; Chordata; Mammalia; Rodentia; Cricetidae
Exons: 6
Source: RefSeq, a predicted model, not a curated record
CCUAAUCCAAGGUGCUUCCGUUCACCCUUAAAUGGAGCACAGUCCCAGUGUUGAACCCCGGCAGCAGGGCUGCUUCCCGGUGGGGGUGUUUAGGUUAGUGUGGUGAAAACGCCAGUCCUGUCUCGUAUUUUUAUCACAAAAGGGGGAAGGGGUGGUCCUUUCAACCUCAUCGUUGGUCCUAGCUCCCAAUUCCCACUCAGGAAGUGAAACUCAGGAAGACCACGCUUAGCAAGCUUCUUCCUUGGGUGGUGGCUCCUUGAGUGUGUGUGUGUGUGUGUGUGUGUGUGUGUGUGUGUGUGUGUGUGUGUGUGUGGUGUGUCUGUGUGUGGUUUUAUUGAUGUAUUUGAUAUAGCUAGGAAACACGCAUGUACACGUGUGGACAGGGAAGAGCAGAGGAAGGAUGGUUAUUUUGAGGAAUUGACCCAAGCCAACUGUGGAGAGACUUUGUAGCUCCAAAAUAUUAUGGAUUAGUCAGUCUGACUGAGACCUGAGUGGGGAAUUGGUCUUUUGACACUAUCCCUUUUUUUGUUGUGGGAAGGACAGAUUUUUUUGAGUUGCAAAUUCUUCUUGGUGCAGCUCUUGAGGAUGUGAAUUUUUGUCUCUUGACUUGGCCUGAGUAUAGGCUAGAAGGGGAACCCAAGUGUUCCUGUGAGUUACCAUUAGAACCUGGUGACUUUAAUCCAUCUCUUCUAUAGUUUCUCAGAACCUGGGACAGGUCGGAAGUGGCAGGCGUUAGGUUUGUGGGUGGGGCUUAUGAGCCCUCCCACCGACCUGUGACCUCUUUGAAGGAGGAAGGCACACCAUUUUCACUUAGUCUUCGUUACUAACUGUUGUGUCCUGCCCAAGUUCCAUCGCUAAAUAAUUAGCCUCCACUACCCAGAGUGGAGACAGAGCCCAUAAAGAGGUGGUUAAGUUAAAAUGAAACAGUUAAGGUAGAUUCUAAAUUAAUCUGACUGACGUCUUUAUGAUGAAGAGGACAUUGGGCAAACUGAGGGACACUGGGGAUCAUGUAAGCACACAGCAAGGGGGAACUGUCUGUGCAUGAGAGAGAGAGAGAGAGAGAGAGAGAGAGAGAGAGAGAGAGAGAGAGAGAGAGAGAGAGAGAGAGAGAGGCAAUGCCCUAAGGGGAAGCAAACCACCUUAGACUUCUAGUAUUCUGCAAUGGUAGUCAUAGCACACUGAUACCCUAUAUCUCAAAAGCCUCAGAGAAUGAUGAAAGAAGCAGAUAAGGAAAGCAGGGACUCCCCUGGCUGGGGGGAGAGCAGACAGGAGAGAAGCUGUGAUUAGGGAUGAUGCCCAGGGAACACCGAGGGGAGUGUGUGGGCCUGCUUCUGGGGCUGACGGGAAGAAUGCUAUUAACUUCCUCGUGGAGUUAAUCUGGAAAGGGACAAGUUACAGUGAACUAAUCUGUGACAGAGAGGCUAAGGAUACAAAGAAGGGAAUGAAUAGACUCAUAAUAAAUAAAUGAAUGAAUUAUUAGUAUGUGGUGGACACCGGACAGCCACGUAAAAUAGAAUGAAUUGAGCCCUUACCUUAUGCCGUACACAAAUAGCUCAAAAUGGAGUCAAGACUUCAACAGAAGACCUGAAAUUGUGGUGCUCUUAGAGGACAGCAUAGAGGACAAGCUGCUUGACAUUGACCUUAGCCACACUUUUAAAGAGAUGACGUCAAAAGCAUUGGCAGUAGAGAUAGAAAUUUAAAAGCGGAUUCCAUCAAACUAGAAUGUUUUUAUGUAUUUAGAAAAAUCACAAACCUUUUACUUUUUAUGUUAUUAUCGUGUAUGUACAGGUGUCUUGCCUGCAUGUAUGUCUGUGUCCUAUGUGAUGCCUGGUGCAUGUGGAGGCCAGAGGAGGGUGUCAGAUCCUUCGGAACUGGAAUUGCAGACAGUUGUGAGCCCUCAUGUGGAUGCUGAGACUAUAACCCGCGUUCUCUAGGAGAAGCAGGUGCUCUUAAUUGCUGAGCCAUCUCUCCAGCUCCCUAAAAAAGUUUUGUAUAGAAAAAUAAUUCAACAAAAUUAAAAAAAAUGAACACUUCAAAAUAGAAAAUUUACAAACGUUAAGGAUUAAUCAGUAUUUUCAGAGAGUACCCAUAGAGUAGAUAAAUGUCAGUAGCUAUAAAUAAAUAUAUAGAGAACAGGCAAUUUAGAAGAAUUGACUCAUGUGCUUAUGGAGGCCGAGAAGUUACAUGAACAGGCUUGGGAUCCAGGGAAGCCACUGGUGUGUCUCCAUCAGUCUGAAGACCUCAGAACCAGUGAUCCCUGGUGCAAUUCUCCAUUCAAGACUGAAAGCCUGGGAGAGGGGAUGGGGCAGGCGCAGGUGCGGGUCCUGGAAUCCAGGGGCUGGAGAACAGAAGGGUGUUCCAGUUCAGAGGGGUGUGUGUGUGUGUGUGUGUGUGUGUGUGUGUGUGUGUGUGUGUGUGUGUGCAUGCUCAGCAUACAUACAUACACACACACACCAACACACACACACACACAGAAGGGGAGUUACUCCCUUCCCCCUGGCUAUGGUUGAGAAUCUCAAGCUGGUUGGGUGCUACCCACUGCCAUUGAAGAGAGAUCUUUGCAGCUCAGUCCACCGCUGUACAUGUCAAUCUUUUCUAGAAAUAAUGUUUCUUUGCUAGACUCACUAGUCCAAACUUAUUCCUGAAGUAAUGAUAACACUACCCUGUCUCUGAGAGACGGUUAAUCUUAAAAAUACAAGGGAUUCAUGCAAGUGCAUAGACGAAAACAAUAACAGUUAAGUAACUGGUAAAGGUGCCAAUGGCCACUUUUCUAAAGGAGACCCACAGGUGGCCAGCGGUUUGUGAAAAGGCCUCAGUGUCACCAACUGUCAGGCACUCUAGAGUAAAAACCACCACGAGCUACCAUGUCACGCCGGGGAGGGUGGCUGUUAUCAGAGAGGAAAGAAAUACCGUGCUGAUGGGGAGGCAGACAAAAGGGGACCCUUCUCCCCACUGAUAGGAACCUAUGGUGAGACAACCAUUACAGAAAAGCAGAAUGGAGCUUCCUCAAAAAAUCAGAGAAGAGCUCCUGUGGAUCCAGCUAUGUCGCCACUGAGUGUAUCUGAAGGAAAUUUACUCAGCGUUUCAGCGAUAUUUGUACUUCAGGAUCAUUGCAAGAUGAGCCACAGUUCCUGAGCCAUGGAGAAAAUGUGUCCAUAAACAGAUGAAAAGAGAGGAGACAUCUCAGUCGGCAAAGCGCUUGUCUUGAAAGCAUGAGGACCUGAGUUCAAUCCCUGGCACCUCCAUAUAAAUUCAGGUGUGUGCUUAUGACCCCAGUUCUAGGGAGGUGGACACAGAAGGAGCCCUUGGUGUCACUGGCCAGUCAGCCUAACCUAAUUGAUGAGUCUUAGGUCUGUAUUUCAAUAAGCAAAGUGAAUGACUCUCAGAGAACAAUAGCCAAAGUUGACCUCUGGCCUCCAUACGCACAUUGCACAAGUGCAUUUGGACAUGCACACUCCCCCUCCCAGCAAACUGAUGAAUAAAGAAGGAAAUUGUAACACACACAUACACACACACACACACACACACAGAGAGAGAGAGAGAGAGAGAGAGAGAGAGAGAGAGAGAGAGAGAGAGAGAGAGAGACAGACAGACAGACAGACAGACAGACAGAUGCUGUGGGAUGUUCUGUAUGUCAAAUGUGUUGCUCUGAUUGGUUAAUAAAUAAAACACUGAUUGGCCAGUAGCCAGGCAGGAAGUAUAAGUGGGACUAACAGAGAGGAGAAUUGAGAGAACAGGAAGGCAGAGAGAGGAGACACUGCCAGCCGCCACCAGGACAAGGAAGAUGUAAGGUACCGGUAAGCCACGAGCCACAUGGCAAAGUAUAGAUUAAUAGAAAUGGGUUAAUUUAAGAUAUAAGAACAGUUAAUGAGAACCCUGAGCCAUUAGGCCAAACAGUUUAAAUAAUAUAAGCGUCUGUGUGCUUAUUUUAUAAGUGGACUGUCAAACUGCCGGGGCUUGGCGGGACCCAGAGAGAAAACUCUCUAGCUACAGACAGACAGGCAGACAGGCAGGCAGAGAGGGAGAGAGAAGAGAAUAUUAUUCAGUCCUACAAAGAAGGAAAUCCUUCCAUUGGGACAUCAUGAAUUAACUUAUAGGAUAUGACACUGAAUGAAAUUACUCGGACACAGAGGAUUCAUACAGCACAAUAUCAUUUAUAUUCAGAAUCUUAAAAACUCAGACUAGGAGAAACAAAAUAGAUUGGUGGUUUCCAGGCAUGGGGAAUGGGGAAAUUCAGAGUUGUUGGUUGAAGGAUUCAGAAGUUCAAGUGUAUGAUGAGUAAGUUCUGGUGGUCUAAUCCACAGUAUAUGACUACAGUUAGUAAUAAUGUGUUGACUAUUUGAAACUUUCUAAGGAAAUGGAUCCUAAGUUAUCACCACACAAACGUGUACAAGUAUUCACAAAAUGGUAACGGUGUCACGUGAGAGAGAUGUUAUUAACUUGCUUGUGGGAAGCACUACAAGACAUGAUCCUCAUGUCUCAGCCUUUCAAACACACAUUUGGGAUUACAGUCAUGAGUCAUGAAGCCCCAAUCACACAAGGCAUUCUUAUGUCAAACUACUAUACUGUGUGCCCCACACACAUUUUAUUUUGUCACAUUCACAUACCUCAAAAAAUUUGAAAAAAAUAAAACUCUGCAAAAACAAAAAUGGUAUUUCAAAAGGCCCAGUUGAGGGGUGGGAUUGUGAUCCAAUGGUAGAAUAUUUAUCUGGCAUAAGCAAGGACCUGCAUUUGAUACCGAGAACCACAAAAUCUCUGAAAGAAAAUAACUAUCCAACCAACCAAACAUCCUGGAAGGGGGCAAGUGACUCUCCCUGCUAUCCUAUCCCAGGACAUAAUGUUCCUCAUUUAUCCUCGCAGGUCCCUGCUCAGUGUUUCUGAUGGAAUUUGGAGUCUAUUCCCUUUUUCAGAUGUUGUUAUAAAUGGCAUCUGGACUCCAUUGCAGGCCUAGGAUCUAUUCCUGAUAUAUUAUGGUUAGGAUUGUACAAGCUGGUCUGAAAGUCUGACCACCAUGAGGUUAUUUUGGAGAGAAGCAUUUGACAUUCCAAACAUUUGGCUCAUUGCUACAUAGGUGCUCAAAUUCUAAGAUGGCAGCCUGUAUUAAUAUUUAGUCUGUAAAUGUCCAGUAUAAAACAUAAAACAUUAAUAACUUGCUAUUGUAAGAACUGAAAGGAAAAUGUGUAGUUUACUACUGAGCGAGACACGUCUUAGUAACAACUUGAUUUGCUAAAGAAUACUCAUCUGUUUAUGUUAGAAACUCUGUUCAAGCAGAAUCUUACCACGCUGUGACACAAAGGAGCGAUGCCAUUCUGGGUGAAGUACAAGUGGGGGUUGGAGCCCAGUGUACCUGGUCCACUCUGCCCACCUGACAGCCACUGAAGACAGCUCCUUAGAACCACCGAGACACAGUUUGCUACCACUGUGGCAGACCUAGAGUGCACACUAACACUGAUCCAGGUGUGAGCACACUGGAUAAUUUGGGAACAGAGGGAGUCCCACACAGGACAGGUAAUCUUUUCAGUGUAUCUUAACCAAUCCGAAUUCUCACCCAAUCAGUUGUUGCUUGUGUUCAGAUUCACAGGCUGAGUUUCUCCGUUUUGUUAUUCUGGAGGUUGUUCCUGCAGGCUGUGGUCUCUCGGGUUCCUGUGACAGCUGUUCCUGUGGGGUUUGCCUGACAAGACGUUAAGGUGGGAGACUGAAGGCAGAGUGGGAAGGGCAAGGCAGGGCAUUCUUCCUCCUUUUCUCCACCUCUAAGUCUUCCAUUGAACCCUCGCUGAAUUCCCUCCACACUCUCUCUCAAUGCUUGUGGUAAUGUCUCCUCUGGGCUGCCAAUUCCCCUCGAUCAGCCUCUGCCAUAGUGUUCCUUCACUGAGAGCAGGUACCACACGUUAAGAAAUGGUUAAGAGAGAGAAAUCUUAAGACUGAGAGAAUUCUGCCCAUCCACUAGGACUUUUAUCCCUGUGAAUUGGGAGGGAGAGAAAUGCCAUCUUCCUAUUUGUGGCAGUGGGAUAUCAAUCUCCCAAAGAAGUGCAGUUUGCACAUUAGGGCAUCCCAAGCCAAAUUUAGUAUUCUGACUCUGAGAGGUUUUGGCUAAACACAGCUGUGUAGAUCUUCAUUUCAGCUGGACUCUGGGGCUGUUCUGAACUUGCUUUGGUGACAUGGUCUAGAGAGGUCCCGGGGGGGUAAGCAGUCCUCCAGGACAGUCAUGACUCUCUCUCUGUUCUCCAGCAUUUUGUUCUCAGGAACCCAGCCUCAUGGCCAUUCCCCGAGUGUCUGGAGUCUUAACAUAAUCUGCCUUCCCCCCUUUUCUUUGUUUAUAUAUGGGCGCUGUAGCUUUGGUUUUGAUUUGAAUUUGAUGAAUUUGAUCUCUUGAUUCUGGAAAAGAUGGAGGCUAAACUGUCACCUCACUUAAUAUGUCUCAAAUGCUGUUUGGCGGGAAGGUAGGAAAGGACCAGCUUUCCUGAGCAAACAAAGGUAAGUGAAAGAUCCUAGACCCUGGGUGAAGGAUUUCCCCUGUCAGAAUCUACACUCUGAGUGUCACUGGUGAAGCUGACUGGGAAGGCCACAUGCUCAAUGACUUAGUUUCUAGAUGAACGCUGUGGCGUCAACACAGUCUUAAGAUGAUGUGAAACAGACAUUGAUCUUCUGUUAGGUACACUCAGGACUUCAAAAGCUCUCAGCUGCUUUACAGGUGGUUUUGGCUUUGGCAAUAGGAUGUUCUAUAUGUUUUCAGAACACCUGCUUUUUGUAGACUGUCUUAUCUACAUUUCAACUGCUAACACCAGAGAAAGUAUUAUCAUAGUAUUGGUGAGAAAGGUGGUGUUGAUUUCGCUUGCUCUGUGUUGCUCUUAUUUAAACACUGAGACCUUUUUUUUGGUCUGUAGUCCAGACUCAGAAUCAAGGAGAGCCAAGUAAUACUGACAAGAUUUUUUUUUUUUUUUUACUUCACCAGCAUCACAGGGGAAAUCAGGAUGACAUUGUGGACUUCGGUGGGAGGAGUGUUUCCCUUGGCUGUAUCCUCCUUCCUAGAUCCCAAUACCUGCCCCAGGUCUGACUGGUAUUCUGUACUUUUCCCUAAUUGUUAUGCUAAUUUUCUACUGAAACCAGAGCCCUAUUGACUGUCUGUCUAGGGAGACCUUUCAAACCUUGACUAACCUUUCUUCAUAGUGACUAAACUCCCACUUCUGGCUGAUGAACAGCCUCCUGCUCAUUUCCAGAGCAAAAUUCUCCUGUACAUCCAGGAACUGGACUUCUGCAGCCACAUUCUACCUUGUCAAUAGGAUGUUUCAGUAUCAGCUGUCCCUGGGACACUGUCAUGUGAACUGUUGGACAUGCAUCCCAUAACCAGGUGACCUAGACGUAAGCAACAAAGACUUCUGGCUUUAAAUGCCUUCUGGGCUGUUGAGAUGCCUCAGUGGAUAAAGGUUCUCUCUGCCAAGUCUGGCAACCUGAGGUUGAUCCUUGGAGCCUACAUAGUGGAAGGAGAGAACUGACUCCCGCCAAUGGUCCUCUGACCUCCACAUGUAUGCUGUGGUUUCUUUGUUCAGUGUUCAGAUGCACCUUUCAUGGGUCCUGGCAAGAUGGAUACAAGAAUAUAAGAUACAAUAAGCAGAUAGGAUCCCAGAGAUCCAGGAGGAAGAAAGGAAUAGGAAAGAAGAAAACACUACUCCUUCUGGAACAGUACUGGUUCCCCUGCCUUUUACAUCCAGCUCAAGUUGUACCAUCUCCUAAAUCUUCCGUUGAUUUCUCCAGUUCCACACAGACUUCCCCAUCCACUCACCAUAUACCCACCAUUCUUAAACCUUCCGUGGGUUGAAAUCCCUUCGACUUUUCAAGCCUGUCAGUUUCCGAAGGACAGCACAUCCUCAGAGCCUGGGUCUGGCACAGAAAUGAGAGGAGUGACCUAUCAAUGACUGGUUCAGUUUGAAAUCCGUGCCAUGAGAGGGAGCCCAACCCUGACACUGCCUGGAGGGCCGGGGACCUUCAUUCUUAAUCCAGUAGGACUGCUGUCCUUAGAAGAAAAGACACCUUGCUCUCCUACAUGAUCGUAAAGGAAAGGCCACGUGAGGACGCAGAAAGUGGUUACCUGGGAACCAGGAGGAGUGGCCUCACCAGCUGUCAAAUCUAUCGGCACCUGUCUGAUGGGGAUGUCGUUCCGUGUGCUGUGAAUGUGUCUUGCUCUGAUUGGUUGAUCAAUAAAGCUGUUUGGCCAAGGGUGAGGCAGAAUAAGGUUAGGUGGGACAUUCUCACUGGAGAGAGGGGAGAGAGAAGAAAAGAGAACUGAGGAGAUGCUGCCAGCUGCCGCCAAGAGAAGCAAGAUGUAAAGAUACCGAACUUCACAGCAGAAGCUUGAAGAUGCUCCUCUUGCCAAGACUAUCAUCUUUGUAAGCACCCAGCUUCAGGAAGCUUGAAGGUUGAGGAGGAAAGGGAGACCAGGUGGUAAGCCAGCUGCAUCCAUAUGGACUGGUGGAGGUCACCCCCUCCUGCCCCUCUGCCACUCAGGUGUGAGGAUGUAGUCUUGACUCAGUUUGUAGAAACAUCACUUCAGCCCUGUUCAAUCACUUUGCCGAACAAAGGAAUCAGUCCCAGGUCGGUCCGCCACACUCCUGACCCGGGAGCCCACCGUGAAUAUUCUUGUCUCAUCUACUCACAUCGUUCUCAAGAUUGGUUUUAUUGUUUGCUAAACGUGUCACUAAAAGCACAAUUAUUCCAGCUGUGUGUGGUUUUUUGCUCGAAGAGUGUGCAGCUCGGUUCUACAAGGAAGGCUGAUGGUGACUUGAGCAACUCCAUUGUCUGUCUUUCUUGUAUCCAGAGUGACGUAGCUUCAAGGACUACAGGACCCACAGUUACUAGCUGUGGGAAACCCAAACUUCUUAUUCCCCACUAACCACCCCAGAUACACAGCGGUUGUCACUAUCUAGUACUUGGGCAUGGACAGGGCCGUUACUCUAAUUUCAUAUCUAUAGAGGCUUUCAUACUGCUAAGAGGCUGCAUUGUUUCCUCACACAGCCAGUUUAGGGGAACUGGGAGCAGUCCUCACAUCUUCCAGCUCCUAAAUUAGUUACCUUUCUCCUAUAUCAGCAGUUCUCAACCUUCCAAAAUCUGUGACCGUUUAAUAGAAUUCCUCAUGCUGUGGUGACCCCCAACCAUAAAAUUAUUGUCUUUGGUACUUCAUAGCUGUAAUUUUGCUACUGUUACGAAUUGUAAUGUAAACAUCUGAUAUGCAGAUGGUCUUAGGUGACCCCUGUAGAAGGGUCAUUCGACCCCAAAAGGGCUGCAACCCAUAGAUUGAAAACUACUGCCCUAUAUGGUAAGUUAUAAGCUAGUGACUUUCUGCUCCUUUUAAAAAUUUUCAAAAAUGGGAAAAAUUCCAGUAAACCUUUUUUUUUUCAAAGUAAAAAUGUUUGUUAUUUUGCCAUUUCAAAAAACAGUUUCUGCUGUGUGUUAAAGUCAUUCAGAAAAGUAAGUUUAUUCUCAGCCCUGCUUCCUAGCCCACAGCCCUGUUCUCAAGACUAUGUCCCCAUGCACAGGAGUGACUGUUGAUCACCAAGUUCCAGCACAUGCCUGCUUAGAAAACAGAUGAGCCGAAGUCGGGUGAAGCAAAUGGUCUGUUCUGGAAAUUGUGAAUAAGAAUGAAUAGCUGAUUCAAUUUUAUGGUUCAUUUGGACAGAGGACAAUUAAGCUCUGGGGGUGGAGCCGCCAUGUUUGGCUAUUUAAACAUGAAACAGGGAACUGGAGAAAAAAACAAAAAGCAUGGACAAGCAAGGAGAAAGCAAGACCACGCAGAGCGGGUGGAGACGGAACUAAGCAGACUGCAGGAACGGCUGCUUGGGCUGUUCUCUGUGAGUCAGUUCUGGCCCAAGGGCAGAUCAGCUCCUGAUGUAUUCUUGCCCUUGGGUCGUAAUGAGACAAUCCUUGGUUCUCUUCAAUAUGCUGUUGGUUUCAUGUAAAUGAUGCUGAAGAGUCUCUCACUCAAACAGCUUGAAUUUGGAUGUUCACCGAACAACUUUCUUGAAUUAUUUGCUCCAAGCAUUUCUGUCAUUGGUUGGGAACAGACAACAUUAUACCCCAGCCAGUGCCCUAUAGCCUCACACACGCUCAGCUGCACACAUCUUUAGGUAGUCAUAGCUCUGCUCAGCUGCACAGUCCAGGCUGCAUUUCUCAGUUCUGCCCAGCUUUCUCUUCAGUCUGCAGCUCCCUGAGAACCACAUCCAGGCUGGCACUUGGGUACUCUGCCCUCACUGACACCCAUUACUUCACCGCUUUGUGCCUUGCGUGCCCACCUCCUUUCUCAUAGGCAGCCACACUGUCACUCAUUAUUUGCUAAUGACUAGUUGGCAGGCAGAGAGAAGUGGCAGCCAGCCUGGCCUUCAGACGGGAAAGAAUCGUGUUUUUCACAGAAUGAAAACAUUGCUUGGUAAGAAGCACUUUCCAGCGCUGAAUAUUUCUCUUUCAAAGUCCCGCUGGGCUCCCUCUGUCUCCAAGUGUCUGCUUUUCCAUCGUCGCUUCAGCCCACCCUCCUUCCCAGAUGGAGACUGGCAGGGCCAUCAGAUUUGGGGAUGGGGCUCUCGCAUGGCAGGUGUAGGCUCUAGCGGGGGAAAAGCUAGUAUGAUCUCUAGGAAGCAAAGUGAAGACCGGUUAUAAUGGAAGAAAAUAAUGGGCUGUUAUUUGGAAACCUUUGACACCUCUUAGGUUUGUCUAGAAAAAGCCAGUAAUUUGUGAGAAGCUACCAAGUUCUCUGAUAGCCGGAAAUAAGUGUCCUAAGCCUGCAUAAUGAACUUGCCUCACAAACUUAGUAUUUGUUCCAGAGAGGGCAGGCUCUGACACCAUUUCUCCUUACCUUCCUGCACGUUAUCUCGCUCCUCUAGAGCUAUAAGAACAGGACUUCUGGAAGCAGCCCUGUGAGGGCAGGCUGUCCCCUGUCCCUGCAGGAGGUAAUGUUGCCAGUGUUGACAAUAAUGUUGGUCACUCAUUUUGUAAUUCACACUCUACCAAGCUGAUUUUUAAAAAAACCUGCUAAAACAAGAAAAACAACAACAACCACAAAAACCGAAAACCAAGCCCCUGGAUCUGCAAGGAGCUCUAAAUGCUUCUCUGCCAGAAGAGGGCUCUGCAUCCCUGACUCCCUGUUCCCCCUUUAAAAAAAAAAAUCACACAGAAAUCCCUAGGAAAGCAAAUACCUUUUAAUAUCCACACUGUUUUCUAUGUGUCCAUAACAACCCAACAACAAAAAAGUUUAUCUGUUGAAGACAGUCAAAAGACGUAUUAGUAAAUGCAAGCCAGGCACUGGUACAGAACCGGGAGUAGUGUGGGGGUUCAGAUAGCUUUCGGUGACCAUAUUUCUUACGCUGCUUGCUCAGGUUUGAAAUAAAGUGACAAAAAAAAGAAGAAUAAGAAGAAGAAGCAACAAGGGUCUCUUGCUCACGAGGAGCAGUGGGUAAUAUAUUUGUUUGUAUUAUGGGAUUGCAGUUUUACUAGAAGGAACACUUGACAUUUUGAUGAGUGCCUCGGGGGAGAAAAGGUACUAACUUCAGAACUUAGUUUUAAUUAUACUAAGGAGGUUACAUUAUUCAGAGGCAUCCCACUGGUAAGGUGCAACAUUUCCUGAAACAGUUUAGUGGAAAAUGCCACAUUAAUCAGUUCAAUAUUUCACUCAGAAGGCUUAAUGGGAGAAGUUUAAAGUACCGUAGCAUUUGAUAAUGUAGAAGGGGGGAAAAAGAGUGUUCACUCGAGGAACGGCUGAAAUAGUUGUUAGUCCCUCUUGUGUUUUUCUCCAUUAAAAGCUGUCUGGCUGUGCUUGCCGCUCAGGAGGGAUACACACACACAUACACACGGCCCCAUUCCUGAAAAAGAACCUGAAAAAGGCAACACACCCAGAGAGAAGAGUACCGUGUGUGCAAGCUGUAACCUCUGUCCAGCUGUACCGGUCCACCCACGCAGAUCAUUUCCUCUCCCUUCAUUGGUCCAGCCUGGUGACAUAAAGCUAUUUUCUUCCAUCACAUCCAGACACACAAGUGCUGUAACACGAAUUGCUAAAUGGUCUUAUUAAUAAUAAAAAAAGCCCUGAUGCCAGAUAUUGGGGUGAAUGCUGAAAGAUCAGAGAGACAGAACAAGCCAGAGCCAACCUCACCUCACCAACUCCUCAGCCAGUCCUGUUUCCUCCAGACUGGAAGUCUCUGAGUCCUUACCCAAAAGUGUCUCUGUUGAACUGCUGCUAAAAAGGCUCUAGUUCCUGUUGAACUGCUGCUAAAAAGGCUCUACUUCCUGGUCCUUACGCCUUAUAUACCUUUCUGCUUCCUGCCAUCACUUCCUGGGAUUAAAGGCAUGUGCCACCAUGCCUGGCUGUUUCCAGUGUAGCCUUGAAUUCACAGAGAUCCCAAUGGAUCUUUGUCUCCUGAAUGCUAGGAUUAAAGGCAUGUGCUAGCUAACCUCUGUGUUUAAUAUAGUGGCUGUUCUGUUCUCUGACACCAGAUAAGUUUAUUGGGGUGCACAAUAUAUCAACAAUAAAGUGGUCUUUGUAAAUGCACAGGAUUGCACAUAAAAGGGAGAUGGGCAAAAUAUGACUACUGAGUCACUUCCCUUUCUUCCCCCAACUUAUGUUCCAACGACCAUUUCUAUUCUACAAAAUUAGGACAAAAAUCUGUUCCGAAAGACAGAAAGCUUUGUGGUUACCCUACAGAUCUUUGCCUGACAGGUUGGCCAGCACACAUGGGCAAAUAGAGAGUCUGAAAAGACUAGGUGAUGAGGAAGAUUGGAAAUUCAAUCCAGGUAUUAAUGUUUGUAAACAUGCAAAUAAACCUAUCUCAGUCAAAUUAGAGGAACACGAUUUUUAAAAAACUAAUCAAGAUUAAUUAUCCUCAUGGUACAGUAGUCUAAUCAAUGUAUUGCAAACAGCAGUGUGGUCAUAGUUGCCUCGUGCCGUUCCCAGUGAAGUGUUGCUGCUGUGCUUUAGAUAAAGUUUUGUUCCUCAAAGGAUUUUGUGCUGGAAGCUUGGUCCCAAGGACUUUGUGUUAAAAGGUGGUAGACUCUUGUCUUAGUUAGGGUUCCUAUUACUGCAAUGAAACACAUGAUCAAAGCAAGUUGGGGAAGAAAGGGUUUAUUCAGCUUACACUUCCAUAUCAUAGUUCAUAAUUGUUUUUCCUCUUCUUCUUUGUUCUGCUAAGGCAAACACUCUGCCAUUACUCAGAAAGAACAUCCAUUUACACACCAAACCAGUAGUUCCUAUUGCACAUGUUAACAUUACUUGUCACCUAGCACCCUAACUAUAUGGUACCUCAUAUAGUUCAUCAUCAAAGGAAGUCAGGACAGGAAUUCAAGAGGGCACGAACCUGGAGGCAGGAGCUGAUGCAGAGGCCAUGGAGGGGUGCUGCUUACUGGCUUGCUUUCAUGGCUUGCUCAGCCUGCUUUUUUUAUGGAACCCAGGACCACCAGCCCAGAGAUGGCACUACCCACAAUGGGCUGGGCCUUCCCCAUCAAUCACUAAUUCAAAUGCCCUAUAGGCCAGCUCUUACGGAGACAUUUUCUCAAUUGAGGGUCCAUCCUUUCAGAUGACUCUGGCUUGUGUCAAGUUGACAGAAUUAUCAAGUACAACCCUUAAGAGGUGGGGCCUAGUGGGAGGUGGUUUCAUCAUGACUGCUUUCAGGAGGGGAUUGAUUACCUCUUAAAGGAAUAGAGUAGAUCCCAAGAGAGUGGAUUAUUAUAAAAGAGAAACCUUGGUGCCUCCUCACUCUUGUUUCCUCUCUUCCCUAGUGGCUUCCAACCAUGUGACACUACUCACCGUGUUAAUAUAGCCACAGGGUCUUCACAGAUGCUGGCACCAUGCAGUUUGGACUUUCUAGUCACCAGUGUCUUAAGCCAAAAUCAUUUAAAACAACAAACAUUUCCCAGCAUUAGGUGUUUUGUUAUAGUAACACAAAACAGGCUAAGUUUAAUUUUUCUUCAGUUCCUAUCACAAAGGAGCCAAAGACCUGUGAGUUAAAAACUAAAAACUCUGUUGGAGAGACAGCUCAGUUGGUCAAGUUCUUGUCUGGCAAGCAUAAGAGCCUGAGUUUGAUCCUCAGAAACCAUGUUUAAAAAAAAAAAAAGCUAGGCCUGGCGUUGUGUGCCCUGGAGAGGCAGAGAGGUAGAGAUUUCAUAACUUACUGGUCAGCCUUGGCAAGGCUGUGUGUGUUACUUGGCAAGUUCCAGGCUAGUGAGAGACCCUGCAUCAAAAAAA